This 336-nucleotide long non-coding RNA is filed under the name Eucalyptus grandis. RNAcentral's name for it is "long non-coding RNA (EGRA_LNC007323)". Lineage: Eukaryota; Viridiplantae; Streptophyta; Magnoliopsida; Myrtales; Myrtaceae. The record is from RNAcentral.
UUUUUUUUCCCCUCGGCUAGGGUUUCGAAUCGGUUUCUCCGAUCUCUUCUUUUGCCCUCUCCUUCGAUCACUGGCGAGUGUGGAAUCCGUUUGUCUAGAUCGCGAAUCGCAAGCUAGCUAGCGAUUUCAAUAGCUCUACUCCAGCAGCAUCGUCGGUCUUCCUCCUGCUGUGGUUCUGCUGCAACUCUGUAAUUUUGAUUCUGCGCCUCACUUUUUCUAUGCAUGGUUACAACUUAGUAGACCUUGUUUGGCGUUUGUUAGAUGUUCGACUGAGCAGACCUUGUUUGGCGUUUGUAGUUUUUAUGAGAUACUAUGCAUUCAUUGAAAGCAUUUUAC